GACGAACCGAGCGAACGUUGUUCGGAAUCACUGGGCUUAAAGGGCGAGUAGGCGGCUCUUCAAGUCGGGGGUGAAAUCCCACAGCUUAACUGUGGAAGUGCCUUCGAUACUGAGGAGCUCGAGCGAGGUAGGGGCCGAGGGAACUUCUGGUGGAGCGGUGGAAUGCGCAGAUAUCAGGAGGAACACCGGUGGCGAAGGCGGGUCUCUGGGCCGAUACUGACGCUGAGGAGCGAAAGCGUGGGGAGCGAACAGG
Molecule: ribosomal RNA, 253 nt
Filed under: uncultured bacterium
Lineage: Bacteria
Description: partial 16S ribosomal RNA
Rfam family: Bacterial small subunit ribosomal RNA
Source: RNAcentral